AGAGUUUGAUCAUGGCUCAGGAUGAACGCUGGCGGCACGCUUAACACAUGCGAGUCGAGCGGAGCACUUCGGUGCUUAGCGGCGGACGGGUGCGUAACGCGUGGGUAACCUGCCCUAUACAGGGGGAUAACGUAUAGAAAUGUACGCUAAUACCGCAUAAGCUCACAGGACCGCAUGGUCUGGUGGGAAAAACUCCGGUGGUAUAGGAUGGGCCUGCGUCUGAUUAGCUAGUUGGAGAGGUAACGGCUCACCAAGGCGACGAUCAGUAGCCGGUCUGAGAGGAUGGACGGCCACAUUGGGACUGAGACACGGCCCAAACUCCUACGGGAGGCAGCAGUGGGGAAUAUUGCACAAUGGGGGAAACCCUGAUGCAGCGAUGCCGCGUGAAGGAUGAAAUAUUUCGGUAUGUAAACUUCUAUCAGCAAGGAAGAAACUGACAGUACUUGAUUAAGAAGCCCCGGCUAACUACGUGCCAGCAGCCGCGGUAAUACGUAGGGGGCGAGCGUUAUCCGGAAUUACUGGGUGUAAAGGGUGCGUAGGCGGCACAUUAAGUCUGAUGUGAAAGACCGGAGCUUAACUCCGGGGUUGCAAUGGAAACUGAUGAGCUAGAGUGCAGGAGAGGAAAGCGGAAUUCCUAGUGUAGCGGUGAAAUGCGUAGAUAUUAGGAAGAACACCAGUGGCGAAGGCGGCUUUCUGGACUGAAACUGACGCUGAGGCACGAAAGCGUGGGGAGCAAACAGGAUUAGAUACCCUGGUAGUCCACGCUGUAAACGAUGAAUGCUAGGUGUUGGGGCGCAAGCCUCGGUGCCGCAGUUAACGCAGUAAGCAUUCCACCUGGGGAGUACGACCGCAAGGUUGAAACUCAAAGGAAUUGACGGGGGCCCGCACAAGCGGUGGGGCAUGUGGUUUAAUUCGAAGCAACGCGAAGAACCUUACCAAGUCUUGACAUCCCUCUGAAUACUGUAGAGAUACGGUAGGCCUUCGGGACAGAGGAGACAGGUGGUGCAUGGUUGUCGUCAGCUCGUGUCGUGAGAUGUUGGGUUAAGUCCCGCAACGAGCGCAACCCCUAUUAUUAGUAGCCAGCAGGUAAAGCUGGGCACUCUGAUAAGACUGCCGGGGAUAACUCGGAGGAAGGUGGGGAUGAGGUCAAAUCAUCAUGCCCCUUAUGACUUGGGCUACACACGUGCUACAAUGGCUAUGACAAAGAGAAGCGAAGCAGAGAUGCGGAGCAAAGCUCAAAAAAAUAGUCCCAGUUCGGAUUGUAGUCUGCAACUCGACUACAUGAAGCUGGAAUCGCUAGUAAUCGUAGAUCAGCAUGCUACGGUGAAUACGUUCCCGGGCCUUGUACACACCGCCCGUCACACCAUGGGAGUUUGAAGCACCCGAAGUCAGUGACCGAACCGCAAGGGAGGAGCUGCCGAAGGUGAGUCAGACAACUGGGGUGAAGUCGUAACAAGGUAGCCGUAUCGGAAGGUGCGGCUGGAACACCUCCUU
This 1494-nucleotide ribosomal RNA is filed under the name uncultured bacterium. RNAcentral's name for it is "bacterial SSU rRNA". It matches the Rfam family "Bacterial small subunit ribosomal RNA". The record is from RNAcentral.